RNAcentral lists this ribosomal RNA (198 nucleotides) under uncultured bacterium. Its description in RNAcentral is "partial 16S ribosomal RNA". It matches the Rfam family "Bacterial small subunit ribosomal RNA", at positions 335 to 525 of the family's 1533-position model. The record is from RNAcentral.
ACUCCUACGGGAGGCAGCAGUGGGGAAUUUUGGACAAUGGGCGAAAGCCUGAUCCAGCAAUGCCGCGUGAGUGAAGAAGGCCUUCGGGUUGUAAAGCUCUUUUGUCAGGGAAGAAACGGUGAAGGCUAAUAUCCUUUGCUAAUGACGGUACCUGAAGAAUAAGCACCGGCUAACUACGUGCCAGCAGCCGCGGUAAUA